GAUGAACGCUAGCGGCAGGCCUAAUACAUGCAAGUCGAACGGAUAUAUGUUUUUCGGAAUAUAUAUUAGUGGCGCACGGGUGAGUAACACGUACAUAACUUGCCCUCAAGCGGGGGAUAGCCUUGGGAAACUGAGAGUAAUACCCCAUAGAAUUAUUGGACGGCAUCGUUUGAUAAUUAAAACUACGGUGCUUGGGGAUAGAUGUGCGUCUGAUUGGCUAGUUGGUGAGGUAACUGCUCACCAAGGCGACGAUCAGUAGGGGGCGUGAGAGCGUGGCCCCCCACACGGGUACUGAGACACGGACCCGACUCCUACGGGAGGCAGCAGUAAGGAAUAUUGGUCAAUGGAGGGAACUCUGAACCAGCCAUGCCGCGUGAAGGAUGACGGCCCUCUGGGUUGUAAACUUCUUUUGGAUGGGGCGAAAAAACGGGAUUUAUCCUGGACUGACGGUACCAUCAGAAUAAGCACCGGCUAACUCCGUG
RNAcentral lists this ribosomal RNA (482 nucleotides) under uncultured bacterium. Its description in RNAcentral is "bacterial SSU rRNA". It matches the Rfam family "Bacterial small subunit ribosomal RNA", at positions 28 to 507 of the family's 1533-position model. The record is from RNAcentral.